GACGAACCGUGCGAACGUUGUUCGGAUUCACUGGGCUUAAAGGGCGCGUAGGCGGGGCGGCGAGUCGGGGGUGAAAUUUUGCGGCUUAACCGUAACAGUGCCUUUGAUACUGGUAGGCUCGAGGGAGACAGGGGUCCGCGGAACUUCUGGUGGAGCGGUGAAAUGCGUUGAUAUCAGAAGGAACGCCGGUGGCGAAAGCGGCGGACUGGAUCUUUUCUGACGCUGAGGCGCGAAAGCCAGGGGAGCAAACGGG
Molecule: ribosomal RNA, 253 nt
Filed under: uncultured bacterium
Lineage: Bacteria
Description: partial 16S ribosomal RNA
Rfam family: Bacterial small subunit ribosomal RNA
Source: RNAcentral